UCCUGGUUAGCUCAGUUGGUAGAGCGAUCCACUGGAAACGGAGAGACCCCUGGUUCGAUACCAGGACCAGGCG
RNAcentral lists this transfer RNA (73 nucleotides) under Ixodes scapularis (black-legged tick). It matches the Rfam family "tRNA". From Rfam's summary of the family: Transfer RNA (tRNA) molecules are approximately 80 nucleotides in length. Their secondary structure includes four short double-helical elements and three loops (D, anti-codon, and T loops). The record is from Rfam by way of RNAcentral. Lineage: Eukaryota; Metazoa; Arthropoda; Arachnida; Ixodida; Ixodidae.